This 711-nucleotide long non-coding RNA is filed under the name Gossypium raimondii (Peruvian cotton). RNAcentral describes it as "long non-coding RNA (GRAI_LNC008615)". The record is from RNAcentral. Lineage: Eukaryota; Viridiplantae; Streptophyta; Magnoliopsida; Malvales; Malvaceae.
CCUUUCCUUCCACGUUAUUCGCAACAGAUGUCCUGCCAAACUACAUGCUAUAUAUAUAUAUAUAUAACGCCAUCACCACCACUACCACCACCAAACUAUUAUUAACUCCAACUCCACAGCAAAAACCACACAAAUAUUAAAUUUCCAUGGAUCAUUUUAGAAGCUUCUUCAGUUGUUUUUCCGGUUCAAGUAAGGUGGCGUCUCAAGGUAACAAUACUGCACCAACAUCCAGCAACGUUAAAGCCAAAUCGAAGGAAAGAAACACUAAGAAAAGCCCUACGAUCCCGAUGACUUACUUCCCCAUUGGAACCAGAUUUAGUCGCUUGUGAAGGGCUCCAACUACAGUUUCUUUUCAUCUUCCACAUUAUUAACGAAUCAACCAUGUUUCGUUGAGGGAAGUGCUGAGUUACUCUGUGAUUCUUUCUUCCAUUUAGUAGUGGGAAAAGGAAUUAAGUUUGGAAUUGAGCAAAGGCUAACUGUUAUGCAAAUAGCUGGGUUUUUUUUAGAGCUAUGAUUGUAGAGUUUAGUAGUAUAUUAUUCUUUUGGUUUAAUUCUUCCACCAGUCCCUGCAUUUUAAAAUUUAGUCUUUUUACUUAUCUGAUUUAAGAAUCAAAAUCCAAUAAUGAGAAAAAAAAAAGAGAGGACGAGGAUUAUUAUAAAACUUAUUAAUAAAGACAGAAAUUGUAUAAAUCAAAACAGUUUAAAAUAUGC